GCGCCGAAUACAACAGGUAUUACAGUGAAAUGCUGACUUACGAGCCCCUAACCGACAAUGCAGUUUUAAAAAAUACAGAUAAGAUUAAGAGAUAAAAGUAACAAGUAAUUAAAGAGGAGCAGUAAAAAAUAACAUUAUAUACAGGCGGUGUGGAGGCUAUAUACAGGGUAUUACGGUACAGAGUCAAUGUGGAGGCUAUAUACAGGGGGUACUGGUACAGAGUCAAUGUGGAGACUAUAUACAGGGUGUUACGGUACAGAGUCAAUGUGGAGGCUAUAUACAGGGUAUUACGGUACAGAGUCAAUGUGGAGGCUAUAUACAGGGUGUUACGGUACAGAGUCAAUCUGGAGGCUAUAUACAGGGGGCACGGGUGCUGAGUCAAUGUGUGGGGGCGCCGGUUAGUUGAGGUAGUAUGUACAUGUAGGUAGAGUUAAUUAAAGUGACUAUGCAUAGAUGACAACAGAGAGUGGCAGUGGUGUGGAGAGGUGGGGGGUGAAUUGUCUGGGUAGUCCUUUGACUAGGUGUUCAGGAGUCUUAUGGCUUGGGGGUAGAAGCAGUUAAGAAGCCUCUUGGACCUCGACUUGGCACUCCGGUACCGCUUGCUGUGGGGUAGCAGAGAGAACAGUCUAUGGCUAGGGUGGCUGGAGUCUUUGACAAUUCUUUAGUCUUUCCUCUGACACCGCCUGGUAUAGAGGUCCUGGAUGGCAGGAAGCUUGGCCCCAGUGAUGUACUGGGCCGUACGCACUGCCCUCUGUGCCUUGCGGUCAGAGGCCGGGUAGUUGCC
Long non-coding RNA from Oncorhynchus tshawytscha (Chinook salmon), 784 nucleotides. NCBI's taxonomy places the organism in Eukaryota, Metazoa, Chordata, Actinopteri, Salmoniformes, Salmonidae. The record is from Ensembl.